UCCGCCGUGAGGCGGAAUCUGAAGGAAGACGGACGCAAAUGCUUGCACUGACGAACAGAAACUUCAUACAAAGGCUGAAUCAGGACGGAUGAGCUUGCGGAACAAAGUGAAGUCCGAUACUGCCCGAAUCCUGUACAGUAAAUGGAGCAGUGACAUGAGCAGAAGGUUGUCGUU
RNAcentral lists this non-coding RNA (174 nucleotides) under Alkalibacterium thalassium. Lineage: Bacteria; Bacillati; Bacillota; Bacilli; Lactobacillales; Carnobacteriaceae. The record is from RNAcentral.